This 460-nucleotide ribosomal RNA is filed under the name uncultured bacterium. RNAcentral describes it as "partial 16S ribosomal RNA". It matches the Rfam family "Bacterial small subunit ribosomal RNA", at positions 338 to 795 of the family's 1533-position model. The record is from RNAcentral.
CCUACGGGAGGCAGCAGUGAGGAAUAUUGGUCAAUGGACGCAAGUCUGAACCAGCCAUGCCGCGUGCAGGAAGACGGCUCUAUGAGUUGUAAACUGCUUUUGUACGAGGGUAAACGCAGAUACGCGUAUCUGUCUGAAAGUAUCGUACGAAUAAGGAUCGGCUAACUCCGUGCCAGCAGCCGCGGUAAUACGGAGGAUUCAAGCGUUAUCCGGAUUUAUUGGGUUUAAAGGGUGCGUAGGCGGUCGGAUAAGUUAGCGGUGAAAUCCCGAGGCUCAACUUCGGACUUGCCUCUGAUACUGGUCGGCUAGAGAGUAGUAGCGGUAGGCGGAAUGCAUGGUGUAGCGGUGAAAUGCUUAGAGAUCAUACAGAACACCGAUUGCGAAGGCAGCAUACCAAGCUACUUCUGACGUUGAGGCACGAAAGCGUGGGGAGCAAACAGGAUUAGAUACCCGGGUAGUC